Non-coding RNA from Drosophila virilis, 3177 nucleotides. Lineage: Eukaryota; Metazoa; Arthropoda; Insecta; Diptera; Drosophilidae. The record is from RefSeq and is a predicted model, not a curated record.
AAAAAGUCAAAAUCCAAACGGAAUUGAACCUUGCAAAAGUUUUUCUAUUUUUUUGUUUCUUUGUUUAAUUUGUGGAUAUGUGAUUUGGGCAGAUAACUUUCAAACCCAGCUACAUUUAUCAUCUUUUUGUGCAGUUGGCGUUUGUCAAAUGGGUGUGGGCAAGUUUAAAGAACUUAUUGCCCAGUUAAAUGCCACAAAUACUAAAUAAUUUCAACCAAAAGCUGAUUUCUAAACAAAAGUUGGAAACAAAAAUAUGCUAAGCACAUUUACACAUACUUUAUUAUAUAAUUCCCAAGUGGUUUUGGCAGGUAAAGUUUUCAUAUGCAAAAUGUCACAAAAUUCUCAAUAAUCAAUUAACAACAAAUAUAUAAAUAUUACAUUAACACCAACAAAUUGGCACAAAAGCUGAUUUAAAAUCACUUCUCUUAUAAUUCUUAAAUGCAGUCGUAAUUAAAACCCCACCAAUUGAUAAUGGCCAAUAAACCACAACACAGCCUAAUUUAUAAGUGUUUUGUCAUGGAGCCCAACCUCUGGCACGCCUCCAAUUAGUCGCGCAUUAGACUUCAAGGGCAGGCAACAAAAAUUAUUAUCGAUGGCAAUUGCUUAGUCAAGAAAGGGUCUUAAGGGGCCUAUUGAGUUAAAUGGCCAUCAAAGGCUGCUUUGGAGCCAGCUGCACCGCAGUUGCGGCUCCUGUUGUGCUCGUGAUGGUCGUGACACGGCAACUGCUGCUGCUGCAGAGUCACUUGGCCCCUGCUCUGCCUUGCCGCGAGGAGCCCUUGACUGCGACCCCGCUGCUCAUCAGCCCUGCACAAAGGGCUACUUGUGGUCGGCUCUUUCAUAAAAGUUAAAAUGCAAAUACAAUUUGCCACUUAAAAUCAGCAUAAAUUGAAGCAUGCCUCGUGUGAGGGAGGGGUAGGUAAGUGUACGGGCAAUUGCAGGCAGACGCUGUGCGGCGGGUAGGUGAGACCGGGAGGGUCCAAUCGUUUCGCAUUCGAGAGGCACUUCAAACAAUUUACAACAAAAACGGAGGCAAGCAGCAGGAGACAAGUGGAAAGUCGGCAAAAUAAAAAAUCAAACUCAACGAACAUGAACAGAAAAAUAAAACAAACUCAAACUAAAUAAAAGCAGAGCUUGUGGGAAAUUACGGAAAUGAAAAUUCUAUGCAAAAGGUUUUCAAAAGAACAAGAAAAAUGUGUGCAGUGAAAAACAACUGACUGUGCAAUGCUCUAAAAUAAAGUAAUAGGAGUAUGCCAUUGGCUAUCUGCUAAACAUUUCGAUAUAGGUCUCCUGAAAACUAUGGAAAAUAUUAUUUUGAACGUAGCUGAAUAUCUGAACACUAUUUAUAUAGACCCGAUUUAUCUAGCUCCGCACAAGCCCUAUAUACUCUCUCUAUCUUAACUACAAACAGCGUAUGCAGAGUAAAAGCAAUAAAACACAAGCCGAUGAAUUUCACCAUGACAACGGAUCUAUUAUUUGCUAAAUUCCAUUCGUGGCUAGUAAUAUAAAUAUAAAAGCUUGCUCCGAUUAGUUGCCAAGUUACGUAGCUUAGUUAAGACUCACAUGAAUGCCCAUAUGGCUGUCAAAAGUUUGUGAGUUAUUUACAGAUUAGCCCUGAAAUUAAGUAGUUCGUGAAGUUUAGACAAACAAGGGAAACAGCUCAGUUCUGCCGUUAAGAAACUGUCUUAAACGUUUUUCAUUAAGACAAACUUUAAUAUUAACAACCGUUACAGUUCAGCUAAGAUGCUUAAAAUGAUUAAAUAAUAAGUCAACUGUUAAGAUUAAAGCAUAUGUGAGCUUUAAUAUUUAAAAGUUAAAUUACAUUUUUAAAUAUUUAUUACUAAUAACGUACAAGAUAACCUAAUUUUAAGGAUGAGCUUUGAUAUUAAAAGCGUUUUUAAAUGCCCUUUAAUAUAAUUCGACUUUCCAUCUGAGCAUUAAUAAUUAAAAACUCGAAAAGUUAAGCCCUCAAUUCCAAAACCGUUACAGUAGAACUCUACUUAUUGUUAAAAGCUUUUAAGGCCAGCUUAAGUAUUGUAAGCAUAUACAGCUGAGCUUUAAUAUUAUAAGCUUCAACUCAUCAGCUUUAAUAUUAUUAGAUUUUACAGCUGGUCUACAAAUUUAAGCAACUCUUGAAGAUAAGCUUUUAUACUGAAAACUAAUACAGAUUUUCUUUACUAAUUACAGUUUCUAAAGCAGAGCUUUAAUAUUAAAUAUCUUCGACUCUUUUCCUUAGCUGAUUUUCCUACAUUUAGGCUUAACCUCAGCUGCUGUCACAUCCGCAAUUUUGAUAUCUACAUAUAUAUUACGCCAGCUGUUGCCGAUUUUCUAGCAAUAAUUACCCAGUCAAGUAUAUACACACACACACACACACUGGCAGGCACAAUUGUAGUCUCUAAUAAAUUCAUAAUUGACAAUGCCCCUUCAUCUACCCCCAAGUACCAUACACAUAUGACAAAUGCUGCGGGGCGGCGCAUUUCACGCAUAAACAGGCCGCACAUCCACUUCCUUCAGCCUUCUCCUGGCCAACAUCCUGCCACGUCUGCCGUCGCUGCUUUGCAAAUUGCUGCGCUUCCUGCUUCGGCAUUGGCAAAAAGGGUUUGUCGCCUGCGAGCAGCGAGUGCGGCUGCACAACCCUUCGGGUAAUUGCAAAAACUAUUAAGCCAAAUUAUGGGUUUUAAUAUACGAGGCGCAUAAAAUGCCGGCUGCUCGCUGACUUCCAGCGACCCCUCUCUCUCUCUCUCUACCCCCUGCUCGGCACUUGAGUGUUUCAAGUGCCGUGAAAAUCAAGCACACGCGAAAUUAUUAUAUAGAUUUGAAACCCUGCCAACCGCCCGCCUCCCCCCAACCAAAACACACACACACACACACACACACACACUGUUUGUUUGAUUGCAAAAUGUUUGCUCUGGCGUAUGAAACAAAAAAAGGCGCCGCUUCGAAUUAUAUGAAAAAUGCAAGGGUAAUAUUUGUUCGACCUGCGACCGACGUCCCCCACCCCCGCCCACUAACAGAUCAAAUAAGCUCCCAUAUCUAUAUAUAUAAAUGGUAGUUUAUGUGCACUUUUUUGUUGCCAUUCCUCCCCCGUCAAUUGGCGCAGAGUCCAGUGGCAUUCCCAGGGCGCUCUUUAAACGUUUCGGCUUUUGGUCCUUCGAGAGACAUACACGAAAGAAAAAAAAA